AGGACUCUGCUUUUCUUCUCGAAAAAGAGGUGCCAGUACUACGUAUCCUUGAGUUCCCCCAGCAAAAAAAGCCCUGGACUUACCUGGCACAACUUCACCCACCUUGGCUGGCCACACACCCUUCAUUAAAGAAAAAGGUAAUUUAACUCAAAUAUUUUAUGCUGUUAUAUAGUGCUUUUUUGUGGGGGGACACAGGGGGACGCAUACCCCUAAACAUUUUGUGAAUCUAAGUUUGGCCUCAUUUAGGAGCAGUAUUUCAAUAAGAGUAGGAAAAUGAGAGUACCCCAAACAUUUUUUUAGGAAAAAAGCACUGCUGUCAUAAUAUAUUGCCAUGCACAUCUGAGUCUCUGUGGGGCCCACAUUGCUUUCUUGGAUGAUAAAUUGUUGCUACUGUUUUUACCUCCAGGUUUACUGAAGGGCUGGGAGAUCUGAGACCCAGGGGUCAAAUGUCCCCCCCCCCCCCAAUGUCAUGGACUGGAUGGACGCAGAGGAAUUGUAGGAGGAACUGGGUGGGGAACUGCCAAGGGAAUCAUAGAAUCAUAGAGUUGGAAGAGACCACAAGGGCCAUCGAGUCCAACCCCCUGCCAAGCAGGAAACACCAUCAGAGCACUCCUGACAUAUGGUUGUCAAGCCUCUGCUUAAAGACCUCCAAAGAAGGAGACUCCACCACACUCCUUGGCAGCAAAUUCCACUGUCGAACAGCUCUUACUGUCAGGAAGUUCUUCCUAAUGUUUAGGUGGAAUCUUCUUUCUUGUAGUUUGGAUCCAUUGCUCCGUGUCCGCUUCUCUGGAGCAGCAGAAAACAACCUUUCUCCCUCCUCUAUGUGACAUCCUUUUAUAUAUUUGAACAUGGCUAUCAUAUCACCCCUUAACCUCCUCUUCUCCAGGCUAAACAUGCCCAGCUCCCUUAGCCGUUCCUCAUAAGGCAUCGUUUCCAGGCCUUUGACCAUUUUGGUUGCCCUUCUCUGGACACGUUCCAGUUUGUCAGUGUCCUUCUUGAACUGUGGUGCCCAGAACUGGACACAGUACUCUAGGUGAGGUCUGACCAGAGCAGAAUACAGUGGCACUAUUACUUCCCUUGAUCUAGAUGCUAUACUCCUAUUGAUGCAGCCCAGAAUUGCAUUGGCUUUUUUAGCUGCCGUGUCACACUGUUGGCUCAUGUCAAGUUUGUGGUCAACCAAGACUCCUAGAUCCUUUUCACAUGUACUGCUCUCAAGCCAGGUGUCACCCAUCUUGUAUUUGUGCCUCUCAUUUUUUUUUUGCCCCAGUGCAAUACUUUACAUUUCUCCCUGUUAAAAUUCAUCUUGUUUGUUUUGGCCCAGUUCUCUAAUCUGUCAAGGUCGUUUUGAAGUGUGAUCCUGUCCUCUGGGGUGUUAGCCACCCCUCCCAGUUAGGUGUCAUCUGCAAAUUUGAUCAGGAUGCCCUUGAGUCCAUCAUCCAAGUCAUUGAUAAAGAUGUUGAAUAAGACCGGGCCCAAGACAGAACCCUGUGGCACCCCACUAGUCACUCUUCUCCAGGAUGAAGAGGAACCAUUGAUGAGCACCCUUUGGGUUCGGUCAGUCAGCCAGUUACAAAUCCACUGAGUGGUAGCAUAGUCAAGACCGCAUUUUACCAGCUUCUUUACAAGAAUAUCAUGGGGCACCUUGUC
Molecule: non-coding RNA, 1647 nt
Organism: Podarcis lilfordi (Lilford's wall lizard)
Lineage: Eukaryota; Metazoa; Chordata; Lepidosauria; Squamata; Lacertidae
Source: the annotation of a GenBank genome assembly